Molecule: non-coding RNA, 30 nt
Filed under: Mus musculus (house mouse)
Lineage: Eukaryota; Metazoa; Chordata; Mammalia; Rodentia; Muridae
Source: RNAcentral
UGGAAAUUCAUUUUUCAGUAAUACUGGUGU